CCGGAGACGCGGAGUUGAGUCAGCCCCCGCCCGCUGUAACAAAACGCAGACAUCCGGGUGAGCGUGGGUGUCUGCAUUUUGUUACGCAAGGGCGAAGGGGCUGUACCUUCUGAAGCACGAUAUUUCUAUACACAAAUUGAUUUUUUGUAUUGAAAAAUCAAUCUGGGUUCGCCAUGUUUCUAACGAUAUAAAACUUUUAAGAUAUUGGUUUCGUAUGUUUUCCAUGAAACACUGAUUUCAUGAGAAAUGUCAACAUGACAACGACAGCUAGAACAAUAUUUUACCACCCACCAGACAGAAAAUAAAAAAAUAUUAAUAAUUAAUUAUUGAGUAAUUAUAGCUCAUUAAUUCUUUCGGGUGCCAUCUGCGCGUGUCAUGCGCAGUCGAUAUGUAUAAAUAAAAAUAUUAAAUACUGCCAUUUUUAAG
Long non-coding RNA from Melitaea cinxia (Glanville fritillary), 426 nucleotides. RefSeq lists it as uncharacterized. The record is from RefSeq and is a predicted model, not a curated record. Lineage: Eukaryota; Metazoa; Arthropoda; Insecta; Lepidoptera; Nymphalidae. The transcript has 2 exons.